Long non-coding RNA from Toxotes jaculatrix (banded archerfish), 468 nucleotides. RefSeq lists it as uncharacterized. Lineage: Eukaryota; Metazoa; Chordata; Actinopteri; Toxotidae. The transcript has 3 exons. The record is from RefSeq and is a predicted model, not a curated record.
UCUCCUUCUGCAGUGCUCUCUCGAUGAAAGAAAAUGAUGAAGAAAGAAAAGAUGCUACCAGCAGCACAGUCUACGUGUUGUGUCUUUGUGUGUCUUUCGUUGUGUUUAUGCCUCAUCUGUCUUUCUUUUCUUUUUCUCCCCACAGGCAGCAAACAGGGGUGGAGCUGCAGCCGCUGACCUCAGAAGUGUAGCGUCCUGCAGACAGUGUCUAAGCCAGAGCUUAUCCCCAACAGCAGCAGCAGCAGCAGCCCUGAGGAGAGAGGCAGUAAUGACCAUAAUGAUGAUGAAUGAAGCAGCGAAACGGUGACAGUGAUGUUCCCAGAUCCCGGAAAUGAACUGGUGAUUUCUCUCACGCUUGAUGUUCGCUGGGACAAACAACGCAGUCACCACUUCCAUCAUACGUGCAGCACCGUGAUGACUCAUCAGUUUGGAAAUAUAGGCUCACUCUCACUUCACGCUGACGAGCCG